This 371-nucleotide ribosomal RNA is filed under the name uncultured organism. RNAcentral's name for it is "bacterial SSU rRNA". It matches the Rfam family "Bacterial small subunit ribosomal RNA", at positions 526 to 896 of the family's 1533-position model. The record is from RNAcentral.
CGUAGGGUGCGAGCGUUAAUCGGAAUUACUGGGCGUAAAGCGUGCGCAGGCGGUUUUGUAAGACAGAUGUGAAAUCCCCGGGCUCAACCUGGGACCUGCAUUUGUGACUGCAAGGCUAGAGUACGGUAGAGGGGGAUGGAAUUCCGCGUGUAGCAGUGAAAUGCGUAGAUAUGCGGAGGAACACCGAUGGCGAAGGCAAUCCCCUGGACCUGUACUGACGCUCAUGCACGAAAGCGUGGGGAGCAAACAGGAUUAGAUACCCUGGUAGUCCACGCCCUAAACGAUGUCAACUGGUUGUUGGGUCUUUACUGACUCAGUAACGAAGCUAACGCGUGAAGUUGACCGCCUGGGGGAGUACGGCCGCAAGGUUG